GAUGAACUCUAGCGGGAGGCCUAAUACAUGCAAGUCGAGCGGUAGAGUGACUUCGGUUGCUUGAGAGCGGCGCACGGGUGAGUAACGCGUACAUGACCUACCUUUAAGACUGGGAUAGCCCUGGGAAACUGGGAUUAAUACCGGAUGUGAUAAUACGUAUAGAGAUGUAUUAUUAAAGUUGAGGCGCUUAGAGAUGGAUGUGCGUCUGAUUAGCUAGUUGGUAGGUAACGGCCUACCAAGGCGACGAUCAGUAGGGGGCGUGAGAGCGUGGCCCCCCACAGGUACGUNAGACACGACCGACUCUACGGAGGC
RNAcentral lists this ribosomal RNA (312 nucleotides) under uncultured bacterium. RNAcentral's name for it is "bacterial SSU rRNA". It matches the Rfam family "Bacterial small subunit ribosomal RNA", at positions 28 to 349 of the family's 1533-position model. The record is from RNAcentral.